GCUCAUAUCCCAUUGAAACAGAAGAUGCUGGUGUAGGAGGAGGAAGGGGGACAGAAGAAGGAGGAAGAAAGAAGGGCAAGCCUCAGGGUAAGCAGCCCCUGUAUUGGUCAAAGGGACAUAACACUAGCUACUAUAACAAUGCUCUGAAUUUCAGUGUCUUGACACUGAAAUUUUCUCUUGUAGGUGUUCCUGGACAGCAAGUGAGUGACUUGCUCACAGGCGGUAAUUCAGGGACCCAGGUUUCUUCUACCUGGUAGCUCUACUGUCCUUCAGAACCUCAGAGCCCUGUGCAUUCAGCCAGCAGGAGAAAGACCACUACUAAGUUAGGUCAUUCACUUUGGGAGAAGCCAGUCUUCAUGCCAUGAGGACGUUCAGGCAGCCCUGUGGAGAGAACCACAUGGAAAGGAUCUGAGGUCUCUCACCAGCACCAAUUUGCCAGCUAUGGGAAUGGGCCACCUUGGAAGGAGACUGUCCAGCCCAAGUGAAGGCUGCAGAUAACUGCAGCUUUGGCCAACAUUUGGCUAUAUUGCUUUGGGAAAUCUCAAGCCAGAACCAUCUGGCCAAGCUGCUCUUAAAUUCCUGAUCCACAGAAGUUUUGGAAGGUAAUAAAUGUUUAUUGUUUUAAGGCACCAAGUUUCAGGGUGAUUUGUUACCAGUAAUAGAUAACUAAUAUGUUUGGCAA
Molecule: long non-coding RNA, 682 nt
Filed under: Homo sapiens (human)
Lineage: Eukaryota; Metazoa; Chordata; Mammalia; Primates; Hominidae
Description: HSALNT0280650
Source: RNAcentral